Molecule: ribosomal RNA, 497 nt
Filed under: uncultured bacterium
Lineage: Bacteria
Description: partial 16S ribosomal RNA
Rfam family: Bacterial small subunit ribosomal RNA
Source: RNAcentral
GAUGAACGCUGGCGGCGUGCCUAAUACAUGCAAGUCGAGCGGAAAGACGAGGGGCUUGCUCCUUUGACGUUGGCGGCGGGCGGGUGGGUAACACGUGGGUAACCUACCUAUCCGACUGGGAUAACUUACGGAAACCGGAGCUAAUACAGGCUGAUUUUUUGAAACGCAUGGCUCCAUAGUGAAAGACGGGUUUUCUGUCACUUAGAGGUGGAUCCGCGCCGCAUUAGCUAGUUGGUAAGGUAACGGCUUACCAAGGCAACGAUGCGUAGGCGACCGGAGAGGGUGAUCGGCCACACUGGAACGGAGACACGAUCCAGACUACUACGGGAGGCAGCAGUAGGGAAUCUUACGCAAUGGGAGGAAGCUAGGCGGAGCAACGCCGCGUGAGUGAUGAAGGUCUUCCGAUCGUAAUACUCUGCUAUUAGGGAAGAACAAAUGUGUAAGUAACGAGGCACGUCUUGACGGUACCUAAUCAGAAAGCCCCGGCUAACUACGUG